RNAcentral lists this ribosomal RNA (643 nucleotides) under uncultured bacterium. Its description in RNAcentral is "bacterial SSU rRNA". It matches the Rfam family "Bacterial small subunit ribosomal RNA", at positions 232 to 885 of the family's 1533-position model. The record is from RNAcentral.
CGCGGCCUAUCAGCUUGUUGGUGAGGUAACGGCUCACCAAGGCGACGACGGGUAGCCGGCCUGAGAGGGCGACCGGCCACACUGGGACUGAGACACGGCCCAGACUCCUACGGGAGGCAGCAGUGGGGAAUAUUGCACAAUGGGCGAAAGCCUGAUGCAGCGACGCCGCGUGAGGGACGAAGGCCUUCGGGUUGUAAACCUCUUUCAGCAGGGAAGAAGCGAAAGUGACGGUACCUGCAGAAGAAGCACCGGCUAACUACGUGCCAGCAGCCGCGGUAAUACGUAGGGUGCAAGCGUUGUCCGGAAUUAUUGGGCGUAAAGAGCUCGUAGGCGGUUUGUCGCGUCUGCUGUGAAAACUCGGGGCUUAACCCCGGGCCUGCAGUGGGUACGGGCAGACUAGAGUGCGGUAGGGGAGACUGGAAUUCCUGGUGUAGCGGUGAAAUGCGCAGAUAUCAGGAGGAACACCGGUGGCGAAGGCGGGUCUCUGGGCCGUAACUGACGCUGAGGAGCGAAAGCAUGGGUAGCGAACAGGAUUAGAUACCCUGGUAGUCCAUGCCGUAAACGUUGGGCGCUAGGUGUGGGGCUCAUUCCACGAGUUCCGUGCCGCAGCAAACGCAUUAAGCGCCCCGCCUGGGGAGUACGG